RNAcentral lists this long non-coding RNA (1522 nucleotides) under Papio anubis (olive baboon). RNAcentral's name for it is "lncRNA (ENSPANG00000041669.1)". The record is from RNAcentral. Lineage: Eukaryota; Metazoa; Chordata; Mammalia; Primates; Cercopithecidae.
CAAGAACAGCUUUUCAUCUGCUUUGUCAGAACAUCAUUUAAAUAGCUACGUUCUGUUAAUGCACAGUAGUUAAAUAAACUCCAAGAUUCUUAUUCUGCAAUAACCCAUUAAAUCAUCUUAAAUACUAUGUCAUAAUGACAACUUAAUGCAACCAGAUGUGAUAUUUGGGGAUUAAAAAAAUACUUUUCUAAAGACAUAGCUUCCUGAUUUUACAUUCUCAAGCCCGUUUGCACAGCUGUUAAAUCUCUUGGCUCUACUUUCUAUGGGUGUAUAUCACUUAUGUUCUGCUUCAUGCAUGACAUUACUGAAGUGCAAAGGAGUGUUCCCCAGGACAUUGUGAUACGUACUUGUGUGAUAUCUGCAUCAGCGUAAUUUUGUUUUCAAGGCAUGAUUUUCUCCCUUUUGAAAGGUGCAAAUAAAUUGGAUCGUGUGUCGACAUGAGAGCGCUAAUAACAGGUCUUGCAAGGUGUCCCAUGGUCUGAGAGUCAUGGGUAGCAGCCAGUGCUUUGUACCUAGUUUCUUGUUGUGAAGAUGUAUGUGAUGGAAACUGAUACUGAGCACAGAAAUGAUGGGAGUGGGAAAUGGUUUAGGAGAAGACACUGUAGUAGUAAAUGGAAAAGGAAAGGAGAUUGGAUUGGAUUUUGAAUCUGCCAUCUGCCAAAGGCUAACAGCAUGCUGAGUGCUUGUGCUUGUGGAAGGACUUGACCAUUCAGCUGUGUUCAAGCAGAAACUCUUCAUCACAAGGUCUUCUGGUGCAGGAGGAACAAAGACUAACACUUUAGAAAGACACUUGCUUUAGUGUGACAUAAAACCAUAAAUUAAGCUUUAAUUUGGCAACUGCUUUUCAAAGAAGAGCUUCAUAAAUCAUCACGCAUCCUUAUCAUCCUGUGCUUUAAUUUUUAAUGGCACACAUAAUGAAAUCAACAAAACAAAUGUGGUAAGAGAAGGCACAGAAAUCAGAUGAGAAUAUGGGAAAAAAGGAAGGCACUCAUGAGCGAUCCAUGUAUACUGUGCAGGAAGGUAGCGGGGAGGGAGGGAGGGAGGACUUGGAAGGCAGAAAGAAACUAAAAACCUCCUGAUGUGAGCAGUGGAAUCACAUGCAUUUUGAUAAAAGGGUCACAUGUUAAAAUGUGAUUUUAAGAUUAAUCUGCUAGAACAAUGCAAUAUUAUUGUUUCUUUUCCAGACCACCUGAAAACUCAGAUCAAAUGGAGUAAUGAUUUGAAAUUUAGUUGACCCUUUCCUUUUGGUCUUAACACUUUCCCAAAUAGUCUUGUAUAAAGUUCAUAAACUUUUCUUUUUGAAUUUGUGCUUGUAUUUCUUUUUCUUUCCCAAAUAUUCAUAUUGAGAUUUUUACCCUGCAACCACGGGGUUAAGCAGAACACAUUAUUUUAUUUUCUUCUUCAGUGAGUGUGUCAAUUUGAACAAGACUGGCCAAAUUGCUUUCUUUCUUUCUUUUUUCUCCUAAAUCAAACUGUCUAUUCUGAAGAGGAGCACGUUGUGGUUCUAUUAAACAAAAUAACA